GGACUCGUAGUGUAAUGGUUAGCACGUUCGCCUCAUAAGCGAGAUGAUGCAGGUUCGAGUCCUGCCGAGUCCACCA
This 76-nucleotide transfer RNA is filed under the name Anoxybacillus flavithermus. RNAcentral's name for it is "tRNA-Met". It matches the Rfam family "tRNA". From Rfam's summary of the family: Transfer RNA (tRNA) molecules are approximately 80 nucleotides in length. Their secondary structure includes four short double-helical elements and three loops (D, anti-codon, and T loops). Further hydrogen bonds mediate the characteristic L-shaped molecular structure. tRNAs have two regions of fundamental functional importance: the anti-codon, which is responsible for specific mRNA codon recognition, and the 3' end, to which the tRNAs corresponding amino acid is attached (by aminoacyl-tRNA synthetases). tRNAs cope with the degeneracy of the genetic code in two manners: having more than one tRNA (with a specific anti-codon) for a particular amino acid; and 'wobble' base-pairing, i.e. permitting non-standard base-pairing at the 3rd anti-codon position. The record is from RNAcentral. Lineage: Bacteria; Bacillati; Bacillota; Bacilli; Caryophanales; Anoxybacillaceae.